CGUACAAUGUGAUUGAUAUAAUAUCAAGUCCAUACCAGACCGUCUAACUUUUCUAGCGGCCGAGCUUCGUUUUGCGAUUUCCACGAUUUCCUGAUUUAAAGCCGAAAAU
Molecule: long non-coding RNA, 109 nt
Organism: Haliotis rubra (blacklip abalone)
Lineage: Eukaryota; Metazoa; Mollusca; Gastropoda; Lepetellida; Haliotidae
Exons: 3
Source: RefSeq, a predicted model, not a curated record